RNAcentral lists this ribosomal RNA (320 nucleotides) under uncultured Prevotella sp. RNAcentral describes it as "partial 16S ribosomal RNA". Lineage: Bacteria; Pseudomonadati; Bacteroidota; Bacteroidia; Bacteroidales; Prevotellaceae. The record is from RNAcentral.
GGAGUUUGGUCCGUGUCUCAGUACCAAUGUGGGGGACCUUCCUCUCAGAACCCCUACUGAUCGUCGCCUCGGUGGGCCGUUACCCCGCCGACAAGCUAAUCAGACGCAUCCCCAUCCCUUAGCGGUGAACCUUUGCUUCCCAUCAGAUGCCAUCCAGGAAGAACAUAGAGUAUUAAUCCGACUUUCGCCGGGCUAUCCUCUACUAAGGGGAAGGUUGGAUACGCGUUACUCACCCGUGCGCCGGUCGCCAUCACAGAUAGCAAGCUACCUGCAUGCUGCCCCUCGACUUGCAUGUGUUAAGCCUGUAGCUAGCGUUCAUC